Molecule: unclassified non-coding RNA, 225 nt
Filed under: Glomeraceae sp.
Lineage: Eukaryota; Fungi; Glomeromycota; Glomeromycetes; Glomerales; Glomeraceae
Description: partial contains 5.8S ribosomal RNA and internal transcribed spacer 2
Rfam family: 5.8S ribosomal RNA (bases 1-71)
Source: RNAcentral
GUGAAUCAUCGAAUUUUUGAACGCAAAUUGCGCUUCCUAGCAUUCCGGGAAGUAUGCCUGUUUGAGGGUCAGUAUUAACAAAAAAAUCGGUUUGGUUGCAAAUUGUGGCGUUUCCAGAGGUCGGGCUAUCUUAACUUUUUUGGUUAAGGGGCUUAAAAUUGACCUUUUUUGUGCAUUUUUAGAUGAAUAUAAAUUUUUUUUUUUUUUGUCUCUUCUUAAUGCUAA